GGAAUUGUGGCAUAGUGGGUAAAGCUGCUGGCUGGGAAGCACUUGGUCACAGGUUCUGCCCAUAUGGGCACAGGUUCAACUCCUGGCUACUCCA
This 94-nucleotide transfer RNA is filed under the name Oryctolagus cuniculus (rabbit). It matches the Rfam family "tRNA". Rfam says of the family: Transfer RNA (tRNA) molecules are approximately 80 nucleotides in length. Their secondary structure includes four short double-helical elements and three loops (D, anti-codon, and T loops). Further hydrogen bonds mediate the characteristic L-shaped molecular structure. tRNAs have two regions of fundamental functional importance: the anti-codon, which is responsible for specific mRNA codon recognition, and the 3' end, to which the tRNAs corresponding amino acid is attached (by aminoacyl-tRNA synthetases). tRNAs cope with the degeneracy of the genetic code in two manners: having more than one tRNA (with a specific anti-codon) for a particular amino acid; and 'wobble' base-pairing, i.e. permitting non-standard base-pairing at the 3rd anti-codon position. Lineage: Eukaryota; Metazoa; Chordata; Mammalia; Lagomorpha; Leporidae. The record is from Rfam by way of RNAcentral.